This 331-nucleotide unclassified non-coding RNA is filed under the name soil metagenome. RNAcentral's name for it is "partial contains 5.8S ribosomal RNA, internal transcribed spacer 2, and large subunit ribosomal RNA". The stretch from base 1 to 120 matches the Rfam family "5.8S ribosomal RNA", at positions 35 to 154 of the family's 154-position model. The record is from RNAcentral.
GAUGAAGAACGUAGCGAAAUGCGAUAAGUAAUGUGAAUUGCAGAAUUCAGUGAAUCAUCGAAUCUUUGAACGCACAUUGCGCCCCCUGGUAUUCCGGGGGGCAUGCCUGUUCGAGCGUCAUUUCACUACUCAAGCCUCGCUUGGUAUUGGGCAACGCGGUCCGCCGCGUGCCUCAAAUCGACCGGCUGGGUCUUCUGUCCCCUAAGCGUUGUGGAAACUAUUCGCUAAAGGGUGUUCGGGAGGCUACGCCGUAAAACAACCCCAUUUCUAAGGUUGACCUCGGAUCAGGUAGGGAUACCCGCUGAACUUAAGCAUAUCAAUAAGCGGAGGA